This 394-nucleotide ribosomal RNA is filed under the name uncultured bacterium. RNAcentral's name for it is "partial 16S ribosomal RNA". It matches the Rfam family "Bacterial small subunit ribosomal RNA", at positions 523 to 918 of the family's 1533-position model. The record is from RNAcentral.
CUACGUAGGGGGCUAGCGUUAUCCGGAAUUACUGGGCGUAAAGGGUGCGUAGGUGGUUUCUUAAGUCAGAAGUGAAAGGCUACGGCUCAACCGUAGUAAGCUUUUGAAACUAAGAGACUUGAGUGCAGGAGAGGAGAGUAGAAUUCCUAGUGUAGCGGUGAAAUGCGUAGAUAUUAGGAGGAAUACCAGUUGCGAAGGCGGCUCUCUGGACUGUAACUGACACUGAGGCACGAAAGCGUGGGGAGCAAACAGGAUUAGAUACCCUGGUAGUCCACGCCGUAAACGAUGAGUACUAGCUGUCGGGGGUUACCCCCCUCGGUGGCGCAGCUAACGCAUUAAGUACUCCGCCUGGGAAGUACGCUCGCAAGAGUGAAACUCAAAUGAAUUGACGGGG